RNAcentral lists this long non-coding RNA (4219 nucleotides) under Gallus gallus (chicken). RNAcentral describes it as "lncRNA (ENSGALG00010026578.1)". Lineage: Eukaryota; Metazoa; Chordata; Aves; Galliformes; Phasianidae. The record is from RNAcentral.
GAUUUUCCCCCAUUCCCUCUGAGCACAGCAAAAAGGGGACAGAAAACUCUUUGGAGCACUUUUUCUAGAAACAAACAAGUGAACAAGGAAGUCAUAAAAUCUUAAAACACAAACUGAGCCAGAAAACUCCCUUUCUGGAAGCUGCUGCCACUUCUUCGCUCCCUUGGUCCCUGUUUUCUUCCCCUACCCCAUCUCAGCCAUCAUUCCCAUCCUGGUCAUCAUCCCCUUCCCUCCCCUGUGCUGCCCUUUCUGGCUGGAGACAGAGAGGAGCGAGUCACUGAGAUGGAGGGAAGGGCACUGGGCAUCCCCAGGAAUACGCAUGGAAGGAGAAGGCAUCCAAUGCCACUGCAGCAUUGGGAGGGGAGGUUGGUGGUGGUUGGGAUUUCAUCUAAGGGGUGCCUUGCCUGUCCUCCCCAGCCCCAAAACUCCUGGGCUGAGUUUUUCUAGGGAAACGUGUUUGCAGGUCCCUCCUUGCUUCCCGGCUGCCCUCACCAGUGGGGAGCCAAGACCUUGCAAGCCAAUGCCCAACUCCAGGCUCGCUGAAAAGCUGCUUUCUGGAGCUGUAGGCACUGAGCUGCCUCUGCUGCAAAGCACAUCUCUCCCUGUGGCUGUCUUUGCUUUCUCCCUCAUCUUGCGCUAGCUUGCAAAGCUGAUACCUCAGGGGUCUCCGUUCGUGCGUGUCUGUGUCCUGUGUCAUCCUUUGAGCGUUCUUCGUUUCUGGAUCCACUCUUUUUUUUUUUUCUCCCUUACCUUUGUACCUCCUUUUGUUGUUCUUUUCUAUCUCUAAAUCAACUUACACAUGACAAAAAUAAACGAUCUCAGGUUAAACAGUGAACACAGCCCAGAGGCAUGAGGAGCUGUGAUAGAGCAAGGAGGAGCAGCUUGCCGCUCCCUGACCUCCUCUGCCUCCAUCUGGGUGCCUGAAGCUGAGACAAGCCUGCCUAGAGGCUCAUUUCUGUCUUCAACAUGGCUUUAUUCUUGCUGUUUUACAAUGAGGCCAUGCUGGGGAGGUCCCACAUGCUCUCACUUGGUGCCCCAAGGUCCCCUGGGAGCGCACCACCAUCCAUUACUGCCUUCAUCAAGCUGCUCAAGCCAGCUCAGUCAUGCUGACCUGAACCUUGGAGUAGGUAGAAAGAGCGUUCCAUCUCCUGGCCUUGCAGCUGCAAGCCAACCCUACGGUCUGAGAAGAUGGUGAUGCUAGUAAAGCUGUGCCAGGGCUUUUCAGCCUUUGCCUCCUCAGCUUUCAGCCACUUACACCCCUUUAGUUACUGCCUGCUCCACCAACCUCAUUUAAUGACAACCUCAUUUACAAUCUACUCUUUCUGCCUGUCAUUUUUGUUGUGCAUUCAUUGAAACUUGAGAAAUGUCCCCCUCCCGGCCACAAAAGGAAGAUGAAAUCAUUCUCUACCCAUCACCUCCAUCUCAGAAGCUAAGCAGCUCUUCGGGAGUUGCAUUCACUGUAGAGUCUCCCUGCUGGGCAUUAAUUUACAGAAAGAGGAUGACAGGUUGGCAUGGCGAGGCAGUAGCAAGCGUUCACAUAACUCAUCCCAUUAGCUGGCAUGGUGUGUUACAAACGUACAUAAAAAGCAGCUGGAGUAUGCCAGGAAGGAAAGGGUGAGUGUUGUGGAUAAGACUCUGAAUGUCUGCAGAGGCGGAUGCGUGGUUUGCAUUUUGUCAUCUCUCUACCAUGCCCUGGAAUGCUCCUCAGCCGUGCGCGAGGCUUUAGGCACUAUGGGUUCCUCUCUUCUCUGAAACCAGAGCAAAAAGAAACCUUUUAAGAUUCGUAGAUAGAUCAUAGCUGCCAAGAGACACUCAUCACCCACCUCUGCAGUCUUCUUCCAAAGUCCUUCAUGUUCAUCCUUCCCCUUUACGUUGGGUGUGUGCACUAGAAGCCCUCUUGUGCAAUGUUUUAAGGCGACAUCCAGAAAAUACCUUGUGUUGCAGCAGCCCUGCCUGAGCUGGGGCUAACCGCCAGUGCUAAACCUGAGCCAGGAGGGUCACCAGGAGGCUUGCAAUUAACGUCAGUGAUUUUUCCAAUCUGCCUGAUGGACAACUUUGUCCACGAAUCAAAGAGUUGUCGUGAGGGUGGAUGUGUUGGCUAGCAGUCCACCCCAUCAUCUUCUGACCAAGCCGUUUUAUGGGCUCUUGCAACCAGACUACUCAAUCCAAGUUUCACUGGGACCCAAAUGGUGUCCACCCUCAUCUGAUGAGCGUCGAUUUCCUUGUAGUGGCAGAAGUGAGCAGAGGAGAGGAAGGGUCUCUCCUUCUGAGGGAGGAACCAUCAAAGCUAGUUAGGCACUGCAGCUGCCACAUGCCCUGUGGUCCAGGACACCCCACCACGUCCACACCAGCGUCGUCCCUGAUGCAGUGGUGGUGGUGUUGGGGCUUUUGACCAUAUGAAGGAUGGACCAAACCACAGCUUUCCUUCUGGCUAGAAGGAACAUCACUCCAGCCCCCUGACUGCCUCCAGGCACGAACCCCUCAGCUGGAUCCUUCCCAUCCACAUUUUGGGGGCUGAGCAAACCUGGAGGGAGGGCAGUAAUCAGGUUGGCAACACCGAGCCAGAGGCUUGGGUCGGAGCAGGCUCGUCCCCAGCCUCUGUGGCAGCGUCCCCAGCCACUGCUGCCUUCCCAACCCUUCUCUUUGUUUCUUUGGACGUUUGUCCCUGUUUCGUCUGCCCCUUAGGAGACUGUGCCCCACAGAACCCCCUCCCGCUGUCCCGUUCCCCCUACCAUUCUUAAUACUAAUGAUAAUAAGCUAUCAGUGUUGUCAUUGCAAUCUAUGAACGAUAGAUUUAAGUAUUUAUGAUUAUUAUUAUGAUUAUUAUGGUUAUGAUUAUGUACUUUUUUGCUUCUUACUCUUUGUAUGUUGCUCCUUGUUUCUCUGUUGUGAAUAAACACAAGGCCCCAUCACACCUUCUCUCUGCUCCCAUGCCAGAGGAGGCAAACACAGCCCCAACAGACCCUAGUCUGAAGGUUUGGAGGGUGGUGCUUUCCAAGGACAUAAAGAAACCAAACCUGGGGCAGAUCCGUUCUCUUAACUCUUCCCUUCCUUCCUGCAGCUCCUCUCCCCCAUACUGCCAUCUGUUUGCAAGAGGCAGGAACCCACCAGCACCAGGAAUGGAGAAUUAAAUGGCAAAGCAUGAAGCAUAAAGUGUUAGCCACAAUGAGUGUUGGUUGGGCAUCCUGCUCACAGAGGCAGCUCCCUCCAGGUCGUGGCCCCCUGACCUUCUGCUAGCUGCACCUUGAGGCUGCAGCACCACCCAGAUGGGCUUGGGUUCUACUGCUGCCUCUGGUUUACCAGUCCCCCGCUCACCCCACUCAGCCGAGCCCACUCACUGGUGUUCCAUCCCAGAAAGGUGUCACGGGCUCUCCUGGUGUCAGUAUCCUCAUGGUGCCAGUGCCUCUGUCUGUCUGAGGCUGAUAAAGCACGAUGCCGUUAAGCAGGCAGAGCUCUGACCUUGUUUUAUGUACCCAUCACCUAGGCUGUUUACACAGCCCAGAGGUUUUCAGGUGGCUGUAAGGGGAAUAUUUUGCUAGGAGGAGACACUGGGGAAAGGGAAGAGGAGCCCCACCUGCACCAUGGUUUGAAAUACUCUCUGUACCGUGAGCCCCAUGAAGAGUCAUCUUGAUCCGGGGAUUUUAACAAGGCCCUUCCCCAUGCAGUCCUGACACAAUCUGCUCCGUCACUACUUUGCCUCCUCGUGGGUUGGGCUCGUUCCCAUCACCCCGUGCUGAACUCAUUCCCGAGGCUGCUCCAGGACCAGAGCUCAGGUCUCAGCCGCAGAGAGCCCCUGCAGAGCCCGGGGUCCCGCUCCGGCAUCACCCUUCCUACCUCACCUGUGCUUGGAUGGGGUGGGAGCGGGCAGGGCCCCUCGCACCGCAGCUCAGCUCCCGCCAGCAUCCCCACAGGACCCAGCCCUUCCUCUGAGAGCACAACACACGGAUGGGGUCUGCAUCCACUGCAGACACCGUGCAGGUCCUGAGCAGGGAAGAUGCUCCGGCUGCUGAUCCCACCGCAUUGCCCCGUUGCUGCGGGUGGGACUGAACACAGCUCGUUUCGCCCGCUCGGACUCAGAGAGACGUCCUGCCUCUGCCCCGUCUUUAUUUUAUUUAUUACCAGAGGCUGUAAGCAGCAGUGCUUCUCUACCCCCUCUUUCUUUUCCUUUCUUUUGUAUUUUGGAACGAUGUGUUGUAAUAAAUACCCAAAUAGGUGUUUU